This 130-nucleotide small nucleolar RNA is filed under the name Dasypus novemcinctus (nine-banded armadillo). RNAcentral's name for it is "Small nucleolar RNA SNORA31 (ENSDNOG00000030191.1)". It matches the Rfam family "Small nucleolar RNA SNORA31". From Rfam's summary of the family: ACA31 (SNORA31) belongs to the H/ACA class of snoRNAs which are thought to guide the sites of modification of uridines to pseudouridines. ACA31 is predicted to guide the pseudouridylation of U3713 in 28S rRNA and U218 in 18S rRNA. The record is from RNAcentral. Lineage: Eukaryota; Metazoa; Chordata; Mammalia; Cingulata; Dasypodidae.
AUGCACUUCUGAAAGACCUGGAGCAGUUAAUGUCUGCUGCUAAGGUUUCCACUACAGGUGCAAGAAAAAAAUGUCCUGUGCUUUCUGUCUGUCUCUUAGUGGCAUUCAAGAUUGAAUAGGCUAUAAUCCA